Molecule: ribosomal RNA, 492 nt
Filed under: uncultured bacterium
Lineage: Bacteria
Description: bacterial SSU rRNA
Rfam family: Bacterial small subunit ribosomal RNA
Source: RNAcentral
GACGAACGCUGGCGGCGUGCUUAACACAUGCAAGUCGAACGAUGAAGCCUAAGCUUGCUUGGGUGGAUUAGUGGCGAACGGGUGAGUAAUACGUGAGUAACCUGCCUUUGACUCUGGGAUAAGCCUUGGAAACGAGGUCUAAUACCGGAUACGACCAAUCCUCGCAUGGGGUGUUGGUGGAAAGGGUUUUGUACUGGUUUUAGAUGGGCUCACGGCCUAUCAGCUUGUUGGUGGGGUAAUGGCUCACCAAGGCGACGACGGGUAGCCGGCCUGAGAGGGUGACCGGCCACACUGGGACUGAGACACGGCCCAGACUCCUACGGGAGGCAGCAGUGGGGAAUAUUGCACAAUGGGCGCAAGCCUGAUGCAGCGACGCCGCGUGAGGGAUGACGGCCUUCGGGUUGUAAACCUCUUUCAGCAGGGAAGAAGCGAGAGUGACGGUACCUGCAGAAGAAGCGCCGGCUAACUACGUGCCAGCAGCCGCCGUAACAC